Molecule: RNA transcript, 2548 nt
Organism: Salvia hispanica
Lineage: Eukaryota; Viridiplantae; Streptophyta; Magnoliopsida; Lamiales; Lamiaceae
Gene name: mediator of RNA polymerase II transcription subunit 25-like
Source: RefSeq, a predicted model, not a curated record
UUUCUGAUAUAACAAAAUAAGUUAGUUAGUUGCUGGAUUGAUUAAAACGGAGAGGGAAUUGAAAGUGUGUUUAAAGAAAUCAAAUCAAGCUCAAGGGCGCCCAAAUUAAUCCCAAAUUCUUUCUGAGACAAAUGAAGAAAAGUUGCAGUGAAAACGACGAUUGAUUGGGGAAUUUCGUCGAACUCAUGGCGGCGAAGCAGUUGAUCAUAGCUGUCGAAGGCACUGCCGCCACUGGGCCCUUCUGGCAGACUAUCUUCUCCGACUACUUGGACAAGAUCAUUCGAUGUUUCUGUGGGGAUGAUUCCAUAGAUAAGGAGACAUCAACCCCACAAGUGGAGCUAUCACUGGUUGUGUUCACCGUUCAUGGUCCAUACAGUGCUUGCCUUGUACGGCGGACUGGUUGGACUAGGAACAUGGACUUGUUGCUGCACUGGCUCUCAGUCAUACCUUUUGCAGGUGGUGGUUUCAGUGAUGCCGCAAUUGCUGAAGGGCUAGCUGAAGCUUUAAUGAUGUUCUCUAUCUCAAAUGGAAACCAAAAUCAGAAUAUGGAGUCACAAAGACAUUGUAUUCUUAUUGCUGCAAGCAACCCUUACCCAUUGCCAACACCUGUAUAUGGAUCACAAUCCCAGCGUACAAAGCAGAGCGACAACACUGAAACACCAACAGAUAAUCGCCUAUUUGAUGCAGAAGCAGUAGCAAAAUCAUUCACCCAGUCUGCUAUCUCUCUAUCUGUUAUUUGUCCAAGGAAGCUACCCAAACUUGGAGCUAUCUACAAUGCAGGAAAGAACAAUCCACGAGCCACAGAUCCACCGCCAGAUAAUGUUAAAAAUCCUCACUUCCUUGUCCUCAUCUCAGAUAAUUUUGUGGAGGCUCGCAUUGCCUUAACUAGGUCCGGGUUGUUAAAUUUUCCAUCAAAUCAAAACCCCGUGAAGAUGGAUGUGACACCAACUGGUCCUGCUCCUUUGAUGUCUGGACCACUUCCAUCAGCUAUUGCUAAGCCUGCUUCUCAAACUGUUGCAAGCUUACAAACUUCUUCACCAAUAUCAACGUCACAGGAAAUGGCUCCAAACACUGAAAAUGCUCAAGAUAUGAAACCUCUUGCAAACAAUACAAUGCCCUCCUUGCAUCCAGUUGGAGGUGCAGAAGCAAAUGUGAGAAUUUUGAAUGACGUGGCACAAGCAAGUCAAGUCCUAGCUAAUGGAACCUCUAUUGCGCUUCCUUCUAUGGGUGGUACGCCUAUGCUAUCAAAUAUGAUGUCUAAUGGAAUGACGUCGUCAGUGCCUUCAGCUCAAAUUGUAAUGUCAUCUGGUCCAUCAGCUGUCGCAUCAAUUACCCAAUCAUUGCCAACACCCGCUGCCACCAAACAAAUGGCACAGAUAGGAACGGGUAUGAAUCAGAACAUGAUGAGUGGUGGAGGUACGUCUGGUAUUUCUUCUGGAAAUGACAGCAUGAUGCGUACUCCAGGAAUGUCGCAACCGAUGCAACCAGGAAUGGAGCCUGUUGGGGUGAAUGGUUCUGUGGUAAAUAUGCCCAUCAAUCAGCAGACAUCGAGUACAAUGCCGCCAUCACAACCAAUACAAGUUAUAUUCUGGGAGGGAAACUUAUCAGGACAGCGUCAAGGCAAGCCUGUUUUCAUCACUAGACUGGUGGGAUACAGGAAGUCCUCAGCUUCUGAGACGCUUGGUGCAAAUUGGCCUCCGACAUUGCAGAUGGUUCGCCUGAUAACCCAGGACCAGAUGAGAAACAAGCAAUACGCUGGAAAGGGUGAUUUUCUAGUUUUUCGUGCAAUGGAUCAGCAUGGAUUUCUUGAUCAGCUUAAAGAUAAGAAACUUUUGGAUGGAACUCGUAGUGUGCAGUAAUACAGUUACCAUCCCAGACACUGUUUGUCACACAUUCCUAUAAAGAAUUGCACCUGAUUGGAAAGCUUUACCCCGGGAUAUGGUAGUGUUUAAGCCACAAAUGACAAAUCCUCAGCAACUUCAAAUAUGAUGCAGCAGCAGCAACAACCACAAUUUCAGCAACAGCAGCCCAUUGGGCAAAUUCAUCAGCAGCAACGACCCCUCAUGGCGCAUCAGCAAUAACAACAACCUCUUAUGCAGUCGCAUCAGCCUAGCAUUAAAAUCCUCAAAUGCAACAAUAGAUGGUUGGUACGGGUAUGAAUCAAGGGUAUGUGCAAUGUGACGGACUAUCCCAGUUACAGUCCCAAGAAACAGGUUUCGUUAGAAGGAGCUCUGAACAUGCUGGCAGGAAAUUUCCUGAGUUAACAUUUCAUAUUUGCUAUUAACCUGUAGACGGUAGGGUCACAAAUCUUGGUAACUCAUGCAAGGAAAUUACAUACUCCUUGACAUGGUUUUAGUUUUGAACUUGCUUUUGCUGCUGCUGCUGCUGCAACUUGUAGGCAAUCUGACGUGUAGUCGUAGAGGGUUUGUUUUACAUUUUUGUCUUGCUGUUAUUACAAUGUGAUAUGGGUUCGUUUUCAAAUCCACAUUAUACAAAUGGGCAUAAUUUCACUUGUAUAUCAACAAGUCGCUUUUUUUCUUUUUUAUCU